UCGCGAUUGAGGUAUGACGCAAGCUUCUUUGCUUUCAGUCUGAAAUUGUUGGGAAAACUUCGAGCAUCAGAUCAGAAAAUUUUUGGUUUCAAAUUUGUUCAUCUGGUAUUCCAUUUCUCCAGGAUUUCAACUGAUCAUCGCUUUCUAUUUCAAACGCGGACAUAAUGGCAUCCACAUCGUAUUCUAGAAGACCAUCGAGGACAGAAUGGCAACUUUGCCAUAGCCAAAGCAGUGGUUAGAGGUUAUCUUAUGACCAGAAGAAUACCCGACUUGAGAAGAGUCGAUAUACACACGGUUACCUUGACUCUGAAGAUAUUUUUGUCUUCAUUGAGCGAGCCACUCAUUACGGAUGAACUCCGGAAUUCUUUCGUUGGCGCGUCUCGCAUAGCUGAAAAAUUAACGAGGGAUGUAACACUCACCGAAUUAUUAAUAUUACUUCCGAAUGCGAAUGGCCAAACUCUCCGCUAUCUUUUAUAUCAUUUACGGUUUGUGACCAGUAUGGCACCGGGAUGCAGUUUUUAUACUCUCGCUUUCGUUUUUGGACCCAUAGUGGUCGGCGGGAGCUCUGAAUAUCUUACUCCACCUGCAUUAUCCAUUCGAAAAGAAGAUCAAAUUCAGGUUUUCAAAAGCUUGUUGGAAAUGGAUCAUUAUUAUAACCACGUUUUCUCUUCAAAGCUCAGGGGAAAUAUUCAUCGACGAUAAUAUACCCCGAUCGUAGUGACCUUCGACAGGAUGAAGAUGUCAUCUCGAUAUGAAAAACAAAAUUAAUAUUCGUAGUCAAUGCUUGAUAAUAAUCCUGAUGAUAAUCCAAUUUUUUGCGGUAUUUCAUGAUGAGAUUUAAAUUUCAUUCAACAUCCUCAUUUCAGUGUCAACUAUUUAUGUUGAAUAAAGACAUUAUAAAUUA
This 904-nucleotide unclassified non-coding RNA is filed under the name Venturia canescens. RNAcentral describes it as "rac GTPase-activating protein 1-like, transcript variant X2". Lineage: Eukaryota; Metazoa; Arthropoda; Insecta; Hymenoptera; Ichneumonidae. The record is from RNAcentral.